Non-coding RNA from Callorhinus ursinus (northern fur seal), 277 nucleotides. The record is from RefSeq and is a predicted model, not a curated record. Lineage: Eukaryota; Metazoa; Chordata; Mammalia; Carnivora; Otariidae.
GCUGUGCAGCAGUAGUGGGGUAACAGGUGACAUGCUCCCCACGAUGGGAAAUCUGAAUUGUUUUUUCUACAGAGAUUUCCUUUUGGAGAGCAUCAAGGACUCCCAACAGUGAGGUGGAAGACUCUCCAGCUCCCACUGAGGGCCAGCUUGAAGAGCUUCCUAGCUGGAGUGUAGAAGAAGCCCCAACCCUCUCCAAGGUGGAUGCAGAAGGGAACAAAAAGGUCCCACCCCUUUUAUUUUAUAAAGAUUUACUUUCAUAGGCCUACUGUGACCAAAG